Molecule: ribosomal RNA, 492 nt
Filed under: uncultured bacterium
Lineage: Bacteria
Description: partial 16S ribosomal RNA
Rfam family: Bacterial small subunit ribosomal RNA
Source: RNAcentral
AGUGAACGCUGGCGGUAGGCCUAACACAUGCAAGUCGAACGGCAGCACAGUAAGAGCUUGCUCUUACGGGUGGCGAGUGGCGGACGGGUGAGGAAUACAUCGGAAUCUACUUUUUCGUGGGGGAUAACGUAGGGAAACUUACGCUAAUACCGCAUACGACCUACGGGUGAAAGCAGGGGAUCUUCGGACCUUGCGCGAUUGAAUGAGCCGAUGUCGGAUUAGCUAGUUGGCGGGGUAAAGGCCCACCAAGGCGACGAUCCGUAGCUGGUCUGAGAGGAUGAUCAGCCAAAAUUGAAAUGGGAAAAGGUCCAGACUCCUAAGGGAGGCAGGAGUUGGGAAUAUUGGAAAAUGGGGGGAAGGCUGAUCCAGGCAAACCGCGUGGGUGAAAAAGGCCUUCGGGGUUUAAAGCCCUUUUGUUGGGAAAGAAAAGCAGCAGGUUAAUACCCCGCUGUUCUGACGGUACCCAAAGAAUAAGCACCGGCUAACUUCGUG